GGGUCGGUGGCGCAGCGGUAGCGCGUGGGAUUGCAGAUCCUAAGGUCACCGGUUCGAACCCGGUUCGGCCCU
This 72-nucleotide transfer RNA is filed under the name Emericellopsis atlantica. It matches the Rfam family "tRNA". From Rfam's summary of the family: Transfer RNA (tRNA) molecules are approximately 80 nucleotides in length. RNAcentral also lists the same sequence under 1 other name. The record is from Rfam by way of RNAcentral. Lineage: Eukaryota; Fungi; Ascomycota; Sordariomycetes; Hypocreales; Bionectriaceae.